RNAcentral lists this ribosomal RNA (327 nucleotides) under uncultured eukaryote. RNAcentral's name for it is "partial 18S ribosomal RNA". It matches the Rfam family "Eukaryotic small subunit ribosomal RNA", at positions 1470 to 1796 of the family's 1831-position model. The record is from RNAcentral.
CCCUUAGAUGUUCUGGGCCGCACGCGCGCUACACUGACGAAUGCAACGAGCUUAUAACCUUGGCCGAAAGGUCUGGGUAAUCUCCAAAUUUCGUCGUGAUGGGGAUAGAUUAUUGCAAUUAUUAAUCUUCAACGAGGAAUGCCUAGUAAGCGCAAGUCAUCAGCUUGCGUUGAUUACGUCCCUGCCCUUUGUACACACCGCCCGUCGCUCCUACCGAUUGAAUGGUCCGGUGAAGCGCUCGGACCGCGGCCUCUUGACGGUCCGCUGUCGAUUGGCUGUGGGAAGUUCGUUAAACCUUAUCAUUUAGAGGAAGGAGAAGUCGUAACA